Molecule: long non-coding RNA, 588 nt
Filed under: Homo sapiens (human)
Lineage: Eukaryota; Metazoa; Chordata; Mammalia; Primates; Hominidae
Description: non-protein coding lnc-FGFR1OP-18:1
Source: RNAcentral
AAACCCCGAACCCGAAACCCCACAGACCAGCCGGAAGUCCGGUCCCGCCCGCUUCCUGUGCGUCAGCGCGGCCGCCGUAGCAAUGCGCGCAUGCUCACCAGCCUUUCUCUCGGACCCGGUAGUGGUCCGUGAAGUCCGCGGAGUGGGCGCUGAUGGUGGGGCUAUCCCUUCCCACUGUCCGCGAGGUGCGCCGUGGUAACGCGCGGGGACACAGCGCGGGUGUGGACCCCCUGCCCACAGCUGGCGCACAGCCAUUGAGUGUAGACCCGACUGGGGCACGACCACUGAACCCUGCACUUGGCGUCCUCCGGGCCCCGCGAGGGGCCUUGCUGGGCGGGUCCGCGGCACCCCGGGUUCCCAGAAGUCGAGGCCCCGAAUGCGCCUCCCCUCGCCUGGAAUCGGAGAGCGGAGGGCUCCUGCGGGCAGGUGGCCGUGCUCCGAAGAGCGCCCUGCCACCCAUGAGGUGGCCCUGGGGGCGUCGCUAGCCUUCCCAGCUGGGUGUCCUCAUCCGGAGACACAAACACCUGCCUCAGGAUUAAAGCGAGGAGCUGUAUUUCAGACCGUCUCAGGAGAAAUAGCAAGAGGCUG